Molecule: long non-coding RNA, 1606 nt
Organism: Vombatus ursinus (common wombat)
Lineage: Eukaryota; Metazoa; Chordata; Mammalia; Diprotodontia; Vombatidae
Source: Ensembl
AUGCCCAGAGAGGGGGAGAGGCUUGCCUACAGUGGCAGAGGUAAUGAGGGAGUCCAGAUUCAAACCCAGGACCCAGGACUCCAAACAGACCAGCACCCCUUCCACUGCACCAUACUGCCUCCCAAGUCUAGGUGGAUCAGAGGUGGUCUGGCGGAGUCUGCCGGCCCAGCGUCUCUCCCGUGUCCUCUCCACUCACACGGCCCCCAGUCCGAUGCAGACCCUCAUCACCUCCUACCGGACCUUAACAGACAUUUGUUAGUUGGACCAAAAAUGUUGGCAAAGGAUCAUUCUUUGGCAAGGCCCUUCUUGAAAUGGAACUUCCCCAGACCAUCCCUGUUGAGUGACCGGUCAUCCACAGCGUUGGGGGCCACCUUGACUACUGUGGGAGAAGGGGCCAAAAGCCCAGCGUCCCCAGGAACCAAAAGCCUUCGCUGCUGCAGGUGGAGGAUGCCGGAGGCCUGGCAGGGUUCUCCCUGUCUGGCCCAAUGGCAGAUGUCUUUGGUUACUGAGAUCAGCGAGGAUGAGAUGAUGGCGCCCUUUUCUAGCUCAAAAGUAGACAUUCUCCUCCAGUACAUACACUGUUCUUUCGUUGUGUACUGUGAAUAGCCAGCCUCUUUUCUUUGUUUCCCACAGUUACUCUGAAUAAUGUUUAGCUUGCGAACGCUGCCCCAAGAGUCUGUAUGUGAGGAGACUCUUAGGUGAGGGCAGUGGUGGGUUGCUGUCCAUCUUCCAGUCUGUGCCAGAAGAAACAGCUCCUUGCUGCACUCUUAAUUGACUUCUCACCACUAACAUUCGACUGCCAUCUCGAGACCCAGACUGAUGAGUGAUAAUCCUCCUGGGUCUCUGAAAAAUCCCACCCCACGGUGCUGGAGCUGUCCUCUUUUUAGGAUCCAGGCUUAGUCAAUUCUCCAUAUGUGGCCACUCGUAUAAAACUCCUUCCCAGAGGCUUGGACAAGUGGCAAGGGAAAAGGCCCCUCCUUGCUAAUUUCCCAUGAUGCAACCUGCAAGUGGGUUUCCUUAAAUGCUGAUUUAAUGAGGCUUAAUUGUCUCUGCCUGGGGCUGCCCGGACUGAUUAGCCUGUCUGAGCCAUGGAUGCAAGGCCCCCCCCCCCCCCCCAGCUGCUCCGAGAAGGUUCUAGGGACUUUAUCUCUCUGUAGCUCUCAAAGGAGGGCCAUCCACACAGAAGGCAUGUGGCUCCGAGUAAGGCUGGGGGGGGGGGGGGGGGGGAUGGAGACGAUACUGGUUCAAGCCCCAGCUCUGCCCCUGAUGGAUGAGUCGUGUGACCCUGGGCCAGUCAGUUGGCUUCAUAUAAGAGCUCCUGAACUGGUCUUCCAGCAUCGGAGUUGAGAGGAGCACUCAGGGGUCAUCGAGGCCCACUUGGACUGCAAAAAGGAGACCUGGCAGGUGGCCCUCCAGCCCCCGUGCAGAGACAUCCAGGGACGGGCGCCCCUGGGUCCCCCAGGCAGCCCCUUCCAUUCGCGGGCCGCCGUGCUGGCUCUCGUGAGCACCACGCCUGGGCGAGGCAUUCGCUGACAAUCUUCUAGUGAUUUUACCAGGAAUCGGACUCAGAUUUGUUGGCCUCUAGUCCGUGGGUUUUAGCUUUGUU